RNAcentral lists this ribosomal RNA (465 nucleotides) under uncultured bacterium. RNAcentral's name for it is "partial 16S ribosomal RNA". It matches the Rfam family "Bacterial small subunit ribosomal RNA", at positions 28 to 507 of the family's 1533-position model. The record is from RNAcentral.
GACGAACGCUGGCGGCGUGCUUAACACAUGCAAGUCGAACGGAAAGGCCCUGCUUGCAGGGUACUCGCGUGGCGAACGGGUGAGUAACACGUGGGUGAUCUGCCCUGCACUUCGGGAUAAGCCUGGGAAACUGGGUCUAAUACCGGAGAGGAGCCCUUCUUCUUGUGAUGGUUGGAAAGUUUUUUCGGUGUAGGAUGGGCUCGCGGCCUAUCUGCUUGUUGGUGGGGUAAUGGCCUACCAAGGCGGCGACGGGUAGCCGGCCUGAGGGGGUGGACGGCCACAUUGGGGCUGGGAUACGGCCCAGACUCCUACGGGGGGCAGCAGGGGGGAAUAUUGCACAAUGGGGGCGAGCCUGAUGCAGCGACGCCGCGGGGGGGAUGACGGGCUUCGGGUUGGAAACUCCUUUCGCUAGGGAAGAAGCCUUUUGUGACGGUACCUAGAUAAGAAGCACCGGCUAACUACGUG